GACGAACGCUGGCGGCGUGCCUAAUACAUGCAAGUUGAGCGAUGAAGCUUGGUGCUUGCCCCAAUUUGAAGAGCAGCGAACGGGUGAGUAACGCGUGGGGAAUCUGCCUUUGAGCGGGGGACAACAUUUGGAAACGAAUGCUAAUACCGCAUAAUAACUUUAAACAUAAGUUUUAAGUUUGAAAGAUGCAAUUGCAUCACUCAAAGAUGAUCCCGCGUUGUAUUAGCUAGUUGGUGAGGUAAAGGCUCACCAAGGCGAUGAUACAUAGCCGACCUGAGAGGGUGAUCGGCCACAUUGGGACUGAGACACGGCCCAAACUCCUACGGGAGGCAGCAGUAGGGAAUCUUCGGCAAUGGACGAAAGUCUGACCGAGCAACGCCGCGUGAGUGAAGAAGGUUUUCGGAUCGUAAAACUCUGUUGGUAGAGAAGAACGUUGGUGAGAGUGGAAAGCUCAUCAAGUGACGGUAACUACCCAGAAAGGGACGGCUAACUACGUG
Molecule: ribosomal RNA, 497 nt
Filed under: uncultured bacterium
Lineage: Bacteria
Description: partial 16S ribosomal RNA
Rfam family: Bacterial small subunit ribosomal RNA
Source: RNAcentral